GGAUGAAGGAGUGAUCUGGCUGCAAAAUUUGUCACCCUGUUGAUCUUCUCUCACCAAUCCAUGUGCUUCCCUCCCAAAGCUGCAUGCUUAGUAGAAGAGAAUAAUGAUCUCAGAUAGGAGAUCAAUUAUACAUGCAAA
Molecule: small nuclear RNA, 138 nt
Filed under: Anolis carolinensis (green anole)
Lineage: Eukaryota; Metazoa; Chordata; Lepidosauria; Squamata; Anolidae
Description: 7SK RNA
Rfam family: 7SK RNA
About the family: 7SK was discovered as an abundant small nuclear RNA in the mid-70s but a possible function has only recently been suggested. Two independent studies have found that 7SK RNA binds the CDK9/cyclin T complex (known as elongation factor P-TEFb).
Source: Rfam by way of RNAcentral